Molecule: ribosomal RNA, 972 nt
Filed under: metagenome
Description: bacterial SSU rRNA
Rfam family: Bacterial small subunit ribosomal RNA
Source: RNAcentral
AGAGUUUGAUCCUGGCUCAGGAUGAACGCUAGCGGCAGGCCUAACACAUGCAAGUCGAACGGUAACAGGAAUUAGCUUGCUAAUUUGCUGACGAGUGGCGCACGGGUGCGUAACGCGUAUACAAUCUACCUUUUGCUGAGGGAUAGCCCAGAGAAAUUUGGAUUAAUACCUCAUGGUAUUAUUGAUAGGCAUCUAUUAAUAAUUAAAGGUUACGGCAAAAGAUGAGUAUGCGUCCCAUUAGCUAGUUGGUGAAGUAACGGUUCACCAAGGCAACGAUGGGUAGGGGUCCUGAGAGGGAGAUCCCCCACACUGGUACUGAGACACGGACCAGACUCCUACGGGAGGCAGCAGUGAGGAAUAUUGGACAAUGGGCGAGAGCCUGAUCCAGCCAUGCCGCGUGCAGGAAGACUGCCCUAUGGGUUGUAAACUGCUUUUAUACAGGAAGAAUAAGCCUUACGUGUAAGGUGAUGACGGUACUGUAAGAAUAAGGACCGGCUAACUCCGUGCCAGCAGCCGCGGUAAUACGGAGGGUCCGAGCGUUAUCCGGAAUUAUUGGGUUUAAAGGGUCCGUAGGCGGAUGAUUAAGUCAGGGGUGAAAGUUUGCAGCUCAACUGUAAAAUUGCCUUUGAUACUGGUCAUCUUGAGUUGUAUUGAAGUAGGCGGAAUAUGUAGUGUAGCGGUGAAAUGCAUAGAUAUUACAUAGAACACCAAUUGCGAAGGCAGCUUACUAAGUACUAACUGACGCUGAUGGACGAAAGCGUGGGUAGCGAACAGGAUUAGAUACCCUGGUAGUCCACGCCGUAAACGAUGGAUACUAGCUGUUCGGGACCUUGAGUUCUGAGCGGCUAAGCGAAAGUGAUAAGUAUCCCACCUGGGGAGUACGUUCGCAAGAAUGAAACUCAAAGGAAUUGACGGGGGCCCGCACAAGCGGUGGAGCAUGUGGUUUAAUUCGAUGAUACGCGAGGAACCUUA